Schistosoma haematobium is the source of this 46-nucleotide non-coding RNA. Lineage: Eukaryota; Metazoa; Platyhelminthes; Trematoda; Strigeidida; Schistosomatidae. The record is from Rfam.
GCACUGAUGAGGUGUCCCACCAUAGGACGAAACGGCUGUCCAAUGC